AUUGCUUCCUUACUGUUGCCAAGAAAACUGCUUGUUUGUGCCCACANUGUCACCAAAGCUGAGCCUGAUCUGAAGGCUUAUUUAUUUUCUAGACAACUAAGUCACAUUUAAUUUUAUUUAUGAACUAUGAGAUAAAGACAGGUCAAGAGGCUGAACACUGACAUAUUGCCACCAGGAAUCAAGGUGACUCAACAACACCUGCACAGUGUGGUUUAUGCUNGCUCUUAAACGGAGAGCAUGCAGGAUUGUCUAAGGAUCCAUCUACACCUAAGUCUUAAUCCAGCUNCAGCCCACCUUCAGAGUGAGAGAAGACUAGUCACUUUCCACAUUAGAUAAUGUUGAAAUAAAACAGCUUGUCACUCUGAUGUGUUCUCACAUGCUGAAAGUGGACGGAAGCUGAAUUAAAACUUAGGCGUACAUGGAUCUUAAGAGUAGCAUGAAUCAAUCUGGUUCAACGUAGUACUCAAUGGAAAGCGACAUCUCUCUCCCCGCCCCCCCGCGCUUUUAAAAACGUCUUUUAGACGGCCAUUCAUUUUCUCCCCCUUGGUAUUGCCCACCCUUCAACCCAUCUAGAAAAGUCCCCAGCUCGGACUCCACUACAUCCAGCCCUCCGUUGACUUUCCCCACCAGGGCAAUUUCGUCCCCCCAAAGCUGGAUUCAUUCUCCCUCGAAAGUGCACGCACAUUAAUGGUCUCUGGAUCUUUCCUUGGGUCUCCAAGCCACGUCUGUGGCAUCGUUAGCAGCCUAGAAAAAAGGCGGUUGGAGGGCCGUUUCCUAUUGCACAAGGAUCCUAAAAAUUCAGCCCUCGCAAUAAACGAUCGGAAUCAACGUGGGAACGGGAGGCACUUCUGAAAGUUAAGUGGUACACAAAAAGCGCGAAACGUGUUUAAAGAGGAUGGCGUGCCCUACCCUGCCUUGCCUGCCGGGUAAGAAAACAUUGUUGAGAAUUAAACACGCCUCUGGAAGAGCAGUUACCUGGGAAUUUGGCGCCACAAAUGCCCCCCGCGCAGGAAACUUCGCCACUCCCCCCGCUUCAGAAGUUCAGAGUUUCAGUCGCUUCCCUUCGCGCAAACACGUGUCGAACCGACCCCUGGCUGUAUGCCCACUCGCUCUCUCUAAAUCUACCGGCAGGUGGCGCCCGGACCUGGUGCUAUGAAUUUAAUACGUCACACUGUUUCCGGCCAAUGGUAGCUUCACAACCAUCUAGAGUACACAGACUCAAGCUUCGAAAUGAUCACACGACGAUGAUCACAAAUUCCCGCCUGAAGAUUAAGACCACGCCAGCGACUAUAGGAAAUUUAAUAACCACGACAACACAAGGAAGCUCUUAUAACAUUGUGAAGCAUGGAAACAAGAUAGUACAAUUUUAUAUUCUGCAACCUCGAGGCAAAUCAACCCUGGUGAUCAAUGGAGUGACAGAUGUGACAGGUUAUUUUCACAAAAGUCCACAAAACAGCUUUGGGUGGAUACCUAUUGUAAAAAGAAAAAAAAAAGGUAUUUUUUAGUCUGGAAUAUAAAUUUCACUUUUGUAGAUAUUAUGUACUCCAUCUUCCAUCUUUUCUAAUGUCCUUUCCCC
Molecule: long non-coding RNA, 1576 nt
Organism: Salvator merianae (Argentine black and white tegu)
Lineage: Eukaryota; Metazoa; Chordata; Lepidosauria; Squamata; Teiidae
Source: Ensembl